RNAcentral lists this ribosomal RNA (236 nucleotides) under Herpotrichiellaceae sp. RNAcentral's name for it is "partial large subunit ribosomal RNA". It matches the Rfam family "Eukaryotic large subunit ribosomal RNA", at positions 104 to 339 of the family's 3401-position model. Lineage: Eukaryota; Fungi; Ascomycota; Eurotiomycetes; Chaetothyriales; Herpotrichiellaceae. The record is from RNAcentral.
ACAGCUCAAAUUUGAAAUCUGGCUUCUCGGAGCCCGAGUUGUAAUUUGUAGAGGAUGUUUCGGGUACCGCUCCGGCUUAAUUUUCUUGGAACAGAAUGUCACAGAGGGUGAGAAUCCCGUCUGGAGCCGCGGUAGGGCCUAUGUGAAACUCCUUCGACGAGUCGAGUUGUUUGGGAAUGCAGCUCAAAAUGGGUGGUAAAUUUCAUCUAAAGCUAAAUAUUGGCCAGAGACCGAUA